This 232-nucleotide ribosomal RNA is filed under the name uncultured bacterium. RNAcentral's name for it is "partial 16S ribosomal RNA". It matches the Rfam family "Bacterial small subunit ribosomal RNA", at positions 335 to 555 of the family's 1533-position model. The record is from RNAcentral.
ACUCCUACGGGGAGGGCAGCAGUAGGGAAUUUUCCGCAAUGGACGAAAGUCUGACGGAGCAAUGCCGCGUGAGUGAUGGAAGGUUUUCGAAUCGUAAGCUCUGUUGUAAGGGAAGAAUAGCAAGAUAGGAAAAUGAUUCUUGUCUGACGGGUACCUUACCAGAAAGCCACGGCUGAACUACGUGCCAGCAGCCGCGGUAAUACGUAGGUGGCAAGCGUUAUCCGGAAUUAUU